UACGUAGGUGGCAAGCGUUGUCCGGAUUUACUGGGCGUAAAGAGCGCGCAGGCGGUCGUUUAAGUCGAAUGUGAAAGCCCCCGGCUCAACUGGGGAGGGUCAUUCGAUACUGAUCGACUCGAAGGCAGGAGAGGGAAGCGGAAUUCCCGGUGUAGUGGUGAAAUGCGUAGAUAUCGGGAGGAACACCAGUGGCGAAGGCGGCUUCCUGGCCUGUUCUUGACGCUGAGGCGCGAAAGCUAGGGGAGCAAACGGG
Molecule: ribosomal RNA, 253 nt
Filed under: uncultured bacterium
Lineage: Bacteria
Description: partial 16S ribosomal RNA
Rfam family: Bacterial small subunit ribosomal RNA
Source: RNAcentral